CCAGCCACAGCCACAGGCUGGGAAAGGGCCAGGGGAGCAGGAGCGAGGUGUGCAUGCAGCAGCCUUGGCUGCGGGCAGGUGGGAGCCCAGCUGUCUCUGGAGAGAGCCGAGCGGUGUUGACCAGCUGCAGAGGGUGGAGGAGAAGGAUCACUCUAGCUCCCCACACCGGCGGGGCAGGAGGGCACAGGAGGCUGAAACAGCAAGAGUCACCCCUGCUGCCUCCCUGCCUGCGCCUACACUGGCUCUGGGGUGGGACAGCUGCCAGGGGCUGUCCAGGCACCUGGCAGACGGCCCCUGCGAGAAGUGCACAGCGCAGGGAGACGGCGCCUGCAAGAGGAGCUUUGCUGAGGAAUGACCCACAGGAGCUUUGUACAGGGCGUUUUGGGGAGAUAGAUCCCUUCCGUGCUCUUGGCUCCACUGGGCAGCUCUGAGCAUGCUGGGGGCACACCCCAGGGCCAGAUACUGCAGCAUGUGAGGGCACUGGUGGAGACACCGGCAGACCCUCGCUGCCCUGUGCAGCAGCCCCACGGGCCCGAGCUGCUGUUGCUCUGGGCCUGAGGGGCUCUGAGCCAUCCAGCCUCUGCUGCGCAUUUUGCUUGUGGCCUUGCCUCUUGCUGCCCCCUUGCCCUGUGAUUGUGCAUCUGGAAAGACCCGUUCUUUCCUGCAGGAUUCUUCAGCCAUUUGCCAUCUUCCUCAUGUCCACAUCAGCCCGGGGCCUUGGCAUGGCUGGCCAAGCAGCAGGACCAAGGAGACAUGGCCAUUGUGGCUGACCCGCCCCUGGGUAGUUCAUUAAGCUAUGCAUCCUGUUAGCUGAGUUGCUUCACGCAGCUGCCCCCUUAGCUGAGGCAUGCGCCCGUGUAACAUCUGCAUCUUCAGCAUACCAGCCUGUGCCGGGCUGCUCGGGCUGGGGCUGGAAGUUGUUCUGACCGCAAUAAACCAGACUGCAGCGUGGC
Long non-coding RNA from Gavialis gangeticus (Gharial), 953 nucleotides. RefSeq lists it as uncharacterized. The transcript is spliced from 2 exons. The record is from RefSeq and is a predicted model, not a curated record. NCBI's taxonomy places the organism in Eukaryota, Metazoa, Chordata, Crocodylia, Gavialidae.